UGGUGGAGUGAUUUGUCUGCUUAAUUGCGAUAACGAACGAGACCUUAACCUACUAAAUAGUUACGCGAACCUUGCGUUCGUGGACAACUUCUUAGAGGGACUUUUGCGUGUUUUAACCAAAGGAAGUUUGAGGCAAUAACA
This 141-nucleotide ribosomal RNA is filed under the name uncultured eukaryote. RNAcentral describes it as "partial 18S ribosomal RNA". It matches the Rfam family "Eukaryotic small subunit ribosomal RNA", at positions 1299 to 1458 of the family's 1831-position model. The record is from RNAcentral.